GUGUACAGAAUGAGUUAAGGUCAUCUAGCAUCACAGAAAACCAAUGGAGAAAGAACAUAGAGAAGAAUUUGACAGUUUAUAAGGAGCAGAGACGGAAAGGUUAAAGGGAAUUAGUUUGCCGCACGAAACACACAUUGGUGACUGUCUUUUUUUCAAUGGAAACACACCAACUACUGAGAAAACGUGUCAACUGGGAUUUUCAUCGAUAUGGGGAUGAUUCUGUCUAGACUUAUAUUCUAAUCAAGGUAACCAAAGAGUAGUACAGGUGACUAAUCUAUAAUAAAGACAGCUUCCAUGCUAUAUAUCUGUAUAUCUGUUACUGAGAGGGUAGUGGAUGCAUGGAAUAGCCUUCCAGCUGAAGUGGUAGAGAUUAACACAGUGAGGGAGUUAAAGCAUGCGUGGGAUAGGCUAUCCAUAAGAUAAGGCCAGGGACUAAUGAAAGUAUUUAGAAAAUUGGGCAGACUAGAUGGGCCGAAUGGUUCUUAUCUGCCGUCACAUUCUAUGUUUCUAUUCGAUUUUAGAUUUCCAUGGCUGGAGGGUGUACAUUGUACCUGACUUCCAGAAUUGUGGUAUAAGGGUGAGAAUGUCAGAUGCAGCAGUAUAUGUUCACCUUGUAAGGGUGCGCCUAAUUCUACAGCUUAUUUAUUGG
Molecule: non-coding RNA, 649 nt
Organism: Pelobates cultripes (western spadefoot toad)
Lineage: Eukaryota; Metazoa; Chordata; Amphibia; Anura; Pelobatidae
Source: the annotation of a GenBank genome assembly